Molecule: unclassified non-coding RNA, 493 nt
Filed under: uncultured Alteromonadaceae bacterium
Lineage: Bacteria; Pseudomonadati; Pseudomonadota; Gammaproteobacteria; Alteromonadales; Alteromonadaceae
Description: partial 16S-23S ribosomal RNA intergenic spacer
Source: RNAcentral
CCUCCUUACUAUUACGUCGAUGACGCCCUUGAUGCAGUGCCUACACAGAUUGUUUUGUUUAUUUAUAAAGACUCGCUUCGCGAGUGUCGCGAAUAGCUGCCUAAACGGAAGAAAAUCUUCCUGACAGCCAUUCUGCUCGCUAAAGUGGUAGUUGUUCUUAAAUAGAAUGCUAAUCAAUAACUCAUUAUUGAUUAGUGUUUCUUUAUAAUGCACUAACGUUCUUUAACAAUUUGGAAAGCUGAUAUUAAUAGUAAUCAAUCAAAAGAGUAAUUGAGAAGUCGAAAGACGCACUUUUUACUCUACUUGACUUGAAUUGCUUGUUAUCAAUUUAUUGAUAGCAAGGCAAUUCUUCCGAUUAGCUUGUCAUGCAUACAACAUUACCAUGUCCGACGUCAAAAGGCGGACAUGGAAGCCGAUACUCAAGGCUUUUUUAGGGUUGUAUGGUUAAGUUGACGAAAGCGUAAUACCGGUGGAAUGCCCUUGGCCCAAGGGC